GAAUUCGAUUAACGCGAAGAACCUUACCCAGGCUUGAACUGCGAGUGACCACUCCCGAAAGGGAGCUUCCGCAAGGACACUCGUAGAGGUGCUGCAUGGCUGUCGUCAGCUCGUGUCGUGAGAUGUUGGGUUAAGUCCCGCAACGAGCGCAACCCUUGUUUGCUGUUGCCAUCAGGUAAUGCUGGGCACUCUGCAAAGACUGCCGGUGAUAAACCGGAGGAAGGUGGGGAUGACGUCAAGUCAGCAUGGCCUUUAUGUCUGGGGCUACACACGUGCUACAAUGGCCGGUACAAACCGUCGCAUAGCCGCAAGGUGAAGCUAAUCGGAGAAAGCCGGUCUCAGUUCGGAUAGCAGGCUGCAACUCGCCUGCUUGAAGUUGGAAUCGCUAGUAAUCGCGGAUCAGCACGCCGCGGUGAAUACGUUCCCGGGCCUUGUCACACCGAAUCACUA
RNAcentral lists this ribosomal RNA (450 nucleotides) under uncultured soil bacterium. Its description in RNAcentral is "bacterial SSU rRNA". It matches the Rfam family "Bacterial small subunit ribosomal RNA", at positions 947 to 1384 of the family's 1533-position model. The record is from RNAcentral.